UAUUAUUAUUAUUAUUAUUUUGUUAUUAUUUAAUAUUUCCUCCGAACCAAUUUAGUUGUCCUAUUUUCUUAUUUGGCAAAGUCUUUUUAGCUGUCUCAUUUCUAUUUUUGUCAAUCUUUUUUUACCUAAAUAUCCUUAGUUCACACAAGUAAUUACGAAUAUACCCUCAUAUACCUUACUCACCCAACUACCCUUUACUACUUACCUUUACUACUUACCCUAUUUAAUGGACCCUACACCAUUCUUAAUAACCGUGCCCAAACAAAUGGGACAUCUAAAUUGGUUGGGAGAGAGUAUUAUUAUUAGAAUUAUUUUAUUAUAUAUAUUUUUUAAUGUAGUUGAAAUUUUAAUUAUUAAAGUAAAUUAUUUUUUAUUUUUUAUUGAAUAUUUUUAUUAUUAAUGUUUGUUUGUAUAAUGUUUUAUUAACCUAAUGUAUGGUUUAUUUCAUAUUUUAAAUUUGCGGGACUUUGAAAAUUUAAUGGACAAUGUAGAUUACUCUGGUAGAUUUGUUACGGAUAGAAAAUAUAAUUCCAUAGAUGAAUUACAUAGUUGGGCCGAUGAGAUAGCUAUAGGAAUUGGUUUUCAAUUUACACGUGAUUCAUAUAAACAAAAAGAAGGACGUUCCAGAGUUAGUUUGUAUUUAAAAUGUCACCGCUAUGGUAAUAUUAGGGGUGAUUUGGAUAACCUAGAUAAUGUUGUCCAACCUGGUUCUAAGAGUAGAACAUGUCGGUGUAAUUUUAUGAUUGUAGUAAAUAGUCGUAAACCAGGAGAAAGACAUUGGACGGUGAGGGUGUGUCCUGGGAAAAACGUAGACAUAACCAUCGAUUCUUAGUGUACAGAGAUGGUCAUAUAAGGGCAAAUAGGUUAAAAUUAGAUAUUCCGCAGCACAUACGAGAGCUUAGUGCAACCGGCAUGCAACCUGCUUUUAUCAUGACUUCAAUUAGAGAAAAUUUUCUUGGUUUUUUUUGCUAGUAUGAAUCAAAUAUAUAAUGUUUGGCAAUCAAUAAGGAGAGAAGAGAUGGAAGGUAGGACUCCCCUUCAACACUGUCUUUAUAUGGCCACAGAGCAUAAUUACGUGGUUUAGACAGAUUUGGAUAGUGAAGGGGAAUUGAACAGAUUAUUAGUUGCAAAUCCUACCUCCAUCCAGAUGAUACGUAUGUGGUAAUAUGUUGUGUUGAUACAUACAAUGUACAAAACAAACAAACAAAAGUGGCCACUGUGUGAAGUAAUCGGAAUGACGCCAACCAAUCACAACUUCUUGAUUGCGUUUUGUUUGAUGCGAGAUGAGGCAGCUGUGUCAUAUUCGUGGGUGUUGCAGGGAUUGAGAAAUAUUUUUGGCACAGCUCAAACUCUUAGCGUCAUUGUAACUGAUCGAAAUGAGGAUUUAUCUGCAGCUAUUCGUGAUGUUUUCCCAGAUGUGCGACAUUUGUUAUGCGUAUGACAUAUUGUCAACGACGUUGAGAACAUGGUGAACAAGUUGUGUGGUGGGAAAAGAAAUCAACAAGGGCAGGUAUUCAGGAAAAGUAGAUGGAACCCCUUGGUUGACAAUUCUACACUCGCCGAAUUUGAAGACAGAUGGCAAUCGAUUUUGAGUACCUGGUCGGUUUAGAACAGAUUGGUCGUUCGAUAUUCUGCUAGAACAUGGAUUCCACUUAAAGAGAAAUUUGUGCGUGCAUGGACGAAUGACUGUUUACACAUGGGUAACCAGACUACCAGCAGAGUUGAAAGCCAACACUCGUCUUUCAAGUAUUAUCUUGGUAGCGGUAAUAGCUCAUUUGAUACUCUGUUUAAAAGGGCACACACACAGAUAACAAAUUAGCAAGCUAGGAUCCGAAAAACGUUAGAGGAAUCCAUGAAUUUUAUUUCAAGGACGUUGCGACAUCAUUUCUUUAGACCUUUAUAUCGCCAUGUAUCUAUUUUUGCCUUGGAACAAUUCCAGCUUGAGCAUAACCGUAAUGCGGUUGUGCACUUCAACGCACCCAUGGAUUGCCGUGUGCUUGUUAUUUCUAUCUGUCGCUCAGGUCACAUGGUUCUUUGUAUUUGGAUGAUAUUCAUCCAUUCUGGAGAACUUUGACGUACACAGAGGUAGGAGUUGACACCAACGAAGGAGUACGGCACGCAAACGCCGACGACAAAGAGUACUUUCAAUCGUUGGUCGAUGAAGUCUUAAAAGCUGAUCCCGCAGUUGUACGACUCUUGUCUCAGGUACUUGAAGAUGAAUUACACCCUGAUGGAGCCGAUAUACCUUAGCCUUACGCAAGUCCACCUAGAAAGCGAAGACCAACCACAAGCAAAACCUUUAGAAGAAAUAAAAGAGCAUUUGAAUAUAGCAGAUUAUCUCUCAUGGUCGAGGGUCUGGAUCUUCAUCCCGCGAGAGAUCCAGUGGUAAAUCUAGUGGUCGAGAAACGCAAUCCUCCGUUGGAAUUAAGUUUAAUUUCAACUUAUCUGAUGGUUCAGCAGGUCGUGAUUUUUCACUGUUUCCAUUGCCGAAUCACAUCCCGCAUAUUCUCCCUCCUUACUUGUUUGAUUGGAUUGAUGUUAUGGGUAACGAUAAUUGUGGAUU
Amaranthus tricolor (Joseph's coat) is the source of this 2563-nucleotide long non-coding RNA. RefSeq lists it as uncharacterized. NCBI's taxonomy places the organism in Eukaryota, Viridiplantae, Streptophyta, Magnoliopsida, Caryophyllales, Amaranthaceae. The transcript is spliced from 3 exons. The record is from RefSeq and is a predicted model, not a curated record.